RNAcentral lists this unclassified non-coding RNA (1177 nucleotides) under Portunus trituberculatus (swimming crab). RNAcentral's name for it is "mediator of RNA polymerase II transcription subunit 15-like, transcript variant X3". Lineage: Eukaryota; Metazoa; Arthropoda; Malacostraca; Decapoda; Portunidae. The record is from RNAcentral.
AGCCGUAUCUGUUAUGAAGAGUCAACACUUCAUUCGCUGUGUAGAACUAUUCUUCCAUUAUAUUUCACUGUAGUGAUAACAUGCAGCAUUAUACAAUCGAGUCACAUAGUAUAAUAUUCUGUUGGUUUUCUUAUUUUUUGAAUGCAACAGAAAUAUUCACAAAUGUUCGAAUACAGUAUUCCGUGGUGUGAUAUUUGUGUAGUAUUGGAACACUAAACGGCAAGCGACAGCAGACAGGCAUGGCGGCGUGAGUGGUGUGAAACUGUGACGGAGCCGCCGCUACCUGGAGCAGCAGCAGCAGCAACAACAACAACAACAACAACAACAACAACAACAACAACAACAACAACAACAACAACAACAACAACAACAACAACAGCAGCAGCAGCAGCAGCAGCAGCAGCAGCAGCAGCAGCAGCAACAACAACCCACCUACCAUCUGGCUGGUAUUUUGGUGGUUGUUAACUUAGAGGCUGUGUACGUGAUGACAACCUUGAUGCUGCACAGCUCGGGCGACUCGCUAAGGUGGACUGUAGUUUGGGUCACCAGCUGGAGGUGGCGGAUCACUUGUGAUGGUUUGCCGAGACUGGAACUAAGUAGCAGCGCAUUCCUGGUGAUCACAGCCAGAAUCCAGCUCAGAAUCAUACUACCAUAGAUCUGCAUCCUCAUUUGUCCAUAAUGAAAAUUGUAAUGAAAUUACAAAUUUAAUAUCCUCUCAGAUAUGGUGCUAGAAUGCAGUAAGCCACAAGUUAUUUGCUCUUGUAAGAGUGGCUACAAAUAACAGUAUUACAUGGAUUAUUAUGUAUACUUAGGAUACCUCAAAGACCCUCCAGAGAAAAACUGGUACAGCAUUUCAAAAAAAAAAAAAAUGUCACUUUGGUAGAGGAGUCCUCAGAACUCUUAGAACACUAGGAAGCUUAUUACUUGCAACACUGCAAGCUCACAAGUCUGAUACACAUGGAGCAAGUAUUAAUCAGAUUAGUGCCAACAGUAAAAUAUACUCUUGGGUGCAGCACAUCAUUGGAGAUGCCUCGACCAUGGCACAAUGUUGAAGACACCACCACCACCACGACAGAGCAGCACAGCAUCAUGGAGAUACCAUCACCAUAGUUGCGAGUUCGGAGGUCUGUGGAGAAAAACUGUCAAUCAGUUUGCACAAUUAAAACAGGUCAUGAAC